RNAcentral lists this transfer RNA (72 nucleotides) under Camelus bactrianus (Bactrian camel). It matches the Rfam family "tRNA". Rfam says of the family: Transfer RNA (tRNA) molecules are approximately 80 nucleotides in length. Lineage: Eukaryota; Metazoa; Chordata; Mammalia; Artiodactyla; Camelidae. RNAcentral also lists the same sequence under 2 other names. The record is from Rfam by way of RNAcentral.
GAGGGUAUAGCUCAGUGAUAGAGUGUGUGCUUAGCAUGCACGAGGUCCUGGGUUCCAUCCCCAGCACCUUCA